ACAUUGUAGAAAGGGUCAAAAUGAUAUAAUUUCUGCAUUUCAUUGGGCGCUAUCUACAAUGUAG
RNAcentral lists this microRNA precursor (64 nucleotides) under Anopheles gambiae (African malaria mosquito). RNAcentral describes it as "microRNA aga-mir-10375b precursor (aga-mir-10375b-1, aga-mir-10375b-3)". Lineage: Eukaryota; Metazoa; Arthropoda; Insecta; Diptera; Culicidae. The record is from miRBase by way of RNAcentral.